This 73-nucleotide transfer RNA is filed under the name Phaeovibrio sulfidiphilus. It matches the Rfam family "tRNA". From Rfam's summary of the family: Transfer RNA (tRNA) molecules are approximately 80 nucleotides in length. Their secondary structure includes four short double-helical elements and three loops (D, anti-codon, and T loops). Lineage: Bacteria; Pseudomonadati; Pseudomonadota; Alphaproteobacteria; Rhodospirillales; Rhodospirillaceae. The record is from Rfam by way of RNAcentral. RNAcentral also lists the same sequence under 1 other name.
GGGCGCAUAGCUCAGAUGGUAGAGCAGCUGACUCUUAAUCAGCGGGUCCAAGGUUCGAGUCCUUGUGCGCCCA